CACACUAUCAUUAACUGAAUCCAUAGGUUAAUGAGGCGAACCGGGGGAACUGAAACAUCUAAGUACCCCGAGGAAAAGAAAUCAACCGAGAUUCCCCCAGUAGCGGCGAGCGAACGGGGAGGAGCCCAGAGCCUGAAUCAGUGUGUGUGUUAGUGGAAGCGUCUGGAAAGGCGCGCGAUACAGGGUGACAGCCCCGUACACAAAAAUGCACAUGCUGUGAGCUCGAUGAGUAGGGCGGGACACGUGGUAUCCUGUCUGAAUAUGGGGGGACCAUCCUCCAAGGCUAAAUACUCCUGACUGACCGAUAGUGAACCAGUACCGUGAGGGAAAGGCGAAAAGAACCCCGGCGAGGGGAGUGAAAAAGAACCUGAAACCGUGUACGUACAAGCAGUGGGAGCACGCUUAGGCGUGUGACUGCGUACCUUUUGUAUAAUGGGUCAGCGACUUAUAUUCUGUAGCAAGGUUAACCGAAUAGGGGAGCCGAAGGGAAACCGAGUCUUAACUGGGCGUUAAGUUGCAGGGUAUAGACCCGAAACCCGGUGAUCUAGCCAUGGGCAGGUUGAAGGUUGGGUAACACUAACUGGAGGACCGAACCGACUAAUGUUGAAAAAUUAGCGGAUGACUUGUGGCUGGGGGUGAAAGGCCAAUCAAACCGGGAGAUAGCUGGUUCUCCCCGAAAGCUAUUUAGGUAGCGCCUCGUGAAUUCAUCUCCGGGGGUAGAGCACUGUUUCGGCAAGGGGGUCAUCCCGACUUACCAACCCGAUGCAAACUGCGAAUACCGGAGAAUGUUAUCACGGGAGACACACGGCGGGUGCUAACGUCCGUCGUGAAGAGGGAAACAACCCAGACCGCCAGCUAAGGUCCCAAAGUCAUGGUUAAGUGGGAAACGAUGUGGGAAGGCCCAGACAGCCAGGAUGUUGGCUUAGAAGCAGCCAUCAUUUAAAGAAAGCGUAAUAGCUCACUGGUCGAGUCGGCCUGCGCGGAAGAUGUAACGGGGCUAAACCAUGCAC
Molecule: ribosomal RNA, 1010 nt
Filed under: Escherichia coli
Lineage: Bacteria; Pseudomonadati; Pseudomonadota; Gammaproteobacteria; Enterobacterales; Enterobacteriaceae
Also listed under: 1 other name
Description: partial 23S ribosomal RNA
Rfam family: Bacterial large subunit ribosomal RNA
Source: RNAcentral